AUGUAAAAUGGGAAACAGACUUCUGAACAUUUAUUCACCUGAAACCUAAAUAUUAGCCGCACAUAAAAUCGAAAAUGGUCAAAGUGAACAAUGGAUCUCAUGGUGUUACAUUCACCAUUAUACUCUUUUGUUGGAGAUAUUCCUUGAGAGGAGUAAAAACACAACUAAGGCCAAUAAAAGCUGUGCGAAAAUGAGAAGACGAAGAGGAUACAAAUUACAAAGAGCAAAAGAUACAUUCAAAUAGUAGGUUGAGAAGAAGCUCGCCCAAAAGAAGCCCGCGGAGGAGAAUGUCGUCGCCGCCGAGAAAGAUCCGGCUGAGAAGAAGCCAAAGACCGAAGAAGAAGAAGAAGAAGAAGAAGAAGGGAAGAGAAGAAUGCCGCCGCCGUCGAGAAAGAUCCGGCUGAGAAGAAGCCAAAGGCCGACAAGAAGAAGAAGAAGGGAGGAGAAGAGGUCACCGCCGAGAAAGCUUGCCGAGAAGAAUCCCGCCGUAGGAGACUAGAAGAGCGUCGAUACUUACAAGAUCUACAUCUUCAAGGUUCUCAAGCAUAGAUUGGAAAUUUCAAUUGGGUAUUUUCCCAACAUAGAUUGAAAUUUUCAAUUGGGUAUUUUGGAAACCAAUUUAUUGGUUUAAUCUGUUAAACGUUGUUGUCUUGUGAGGUAAAUUAAUCAAAAAAUCGCAUGUUUCAUUGAAUUAACUCUGUUUUUGUUAUUGGGUUUGCUUUAAUAUUAUUGAACUUUCAAUUGGGUUACAAUUUAAUUUGUUAGGAUUUGAUCGAACAUUAUGAAUUGAUUAAUGUCCAAAUGUAGUUAGAACUUUUACUCCCAGUUA
Spinacia oleracea (spinach) is the source of this 829-nucleotide long non-coding RNA. RefSeq lists it as uncharacterized. NCBI's taxonomy places the organism in Eukaryota, Viridiplantae, Streptophyta, Magnoliopsida, Caryophyllales, Amaranthaceae. The transcript has 2 exons. The record is from RefSeq and is a predicted model, not a curated record.